Molecule: small RNA, 486 nt
Filed under: Pan troglodytes (chimpanzee)
Lineage: Eukaryota; Metazoa; Chordata; Mammalia; Primates; Hominidae
Description: retained intron
Source: RNAcentral
GCCGCCUCGUCCCGCUUCUCGGCUGAGGCGCCGCGCGGCCAGGCAGCGGGUCCAGGCCUCAGCCGCGCGCCCAGGGGCCUCCGGGGCCCUCCCGGGUCAGCAUGCCCGGGGUGAAGCUGACCACCCAGGCCUACUGCAAGAUGGUGCUGCACGGCGCCAAGUACCCGCACUGCGCCGUCAACGGGCUCCUGGUGGCCGAGAAGCAGAAGCCGCGUAAGGAGCACCUCCCCCUGGGCGGCCCGGGCGCCCACCACACCCUCUUCGUGGACUGCAUCCCCCUCUUCCACGGCACCCUGGCCCUAGCCCCCAUGCUGGAGGUGGCCCUCACCCUGAUUGAUUCAUGGUGCAAAGAUCAUAGCUACGUGAUUGCUGGUUAUUAUCAAGCUAAUGAGCGAGUAAAGGAUGCCAGGUACGUGGAUGCAGAACCCUCUGUGGGCGAGGAAGUGAGCACGUGUUGGGCAGACCCCGUCUCUCGUGUGCUUUUCG